UACGUAAGGUCCGAGCGUUGUCCGGAAUCCUUGGGCGUAAAGGGUACGUAGGCGGAUAAGCAAGUUAGAAGUGAAAUCCUAUAGCUCAACUAUAGUAAGCUUUUAAAACUGCUCAUCUUGAGGUAUGGAAGGGAAAGUGGAAUUCCUAGUGUAGCGGUGAAAUGCGUAGAGAUGUGGAGGAAUACCGGUGGCGAAGGCGGCCCCCUGGACAAAGACUGACGCUGAGGUACGAAAGCGUGGGUAGCAAACAGG
This 252-nucleotide ribosomal RNA is filed under the name uncultured bacterium. RNAcentral describes it as "partial 16S ribosomal RNA". It matches the Rfam family "Bacterial small subunit ribosomal RNA", at positions 524 to 776 of the family's 1533-position model. The record is from RNAcentral.